AGUGAACGCUGGCGGUAGGCCUAACACAUGCAAGUCGAACGGCAGCACAGUAAGAGCUUGCUCUUACGGGUGGCGAGUGGCGGACGGGUGAGGAAUACAUCGGAAUCUACUUUUUCGUGGGGGAUAACGUAGGGAAACUUACGCUAAUACCGCAUACGACCUACGGGUGAAAGCAGGGGAUCUUCGGACCUUGCGCGAUUGAAUGAGCCGAUGUCGGAUUAGCUAGUUGGCGGGGUAAAGGCCCACCAAGGCGACGAUCCGUAGCUGGUCUGAGAGGAUGAUCAGCCAAACUGGAACUGAGACACGGUCCAGACUCCUAAGGGAGGCAGCAGUGGGGAAUAUUGGAAAAUGGGCGCAAGCCUGAUCCAGCCAUACCGCGUGGGUGAAGAAGGCCUUCGGGUUGUAAAGCCCUUUUGUUGGGAAAGAAAAGCAGCAGGUUAAUACCCCGCUGUUCUGACGGUACCCAAAGAAUAAGCACCGGCUAACUUCGUG
This 492-nucleotide ribosomal RNA is filed under the name uncultured bacterium. RNAcentral's name for it is "partial 16S ribosomal RNA". It matches the Rfam family "Bacterial small subunit ribosomal RNA", at positions 29 to 507 of the family's 1533-position model. The record is from RNAcentral.